RNAcentral lists this ribosomal RNA (429 nucleotides) under Gemmatimonadota bacterium. RNAcentral's name for it is "Gemmatimonadetes bacterium partial 16S ribosomal RNA". It matches the Rfam family "Bacterial small subunit ribosomal RNA", at positions 355 to 776 of the family's 1533-position model. The record is from RNAcentral. Lineage: Bacteria; Pseudomonadati; Gemmatimonadota.
UAGGGAAUCUUCGGCAAUUGACGAAAGUCUGACCGAGCAACGCCGCGUGAGUGAAGAAGGUUUUCGGAUCGUAAAACUCUGUUGUUAGAGAAGAACAAGGACGUUAGUAACUGAACGUCCCCUGACGGUAUCUAACCAGAAAGCCACGGCUAACUACGUGCCAGCAGCCGCGGUAAUACGUAGGUGGCAAGCGUUGUCCGGAUUUAUUUGGCGUAAAGCGAGCGCAGGCGGUUUCUUAAGUCUGAUGUGAAAGCCCCCGGCUCAACCGGGGAGGGUCAUUGGAAACUGGGAGACUUGAGUGCAGAAGAGGAGAGUGGAAUUCCAUGUGUAGCGGUGAAAGGCGUAGAUAUAUGGAGGAACACCAGUGGCGAAGGCGGCUGUCAGGUCUGUAACUGACGCUGAGGCUCGAAAGCGUGGGGAGGAAACAGG